AGCGGACAUGGCUCCCAGCGUGCCAGCGGCAGAACCCGAGUAUCCUAAAGGCAUCCGGGCCGUGCUGCUGGGGCCUCCCAGGGCCGGUAAAGGCACCCAGGCACCCAGAUUGGCUGAAAACUUCUGUGUCUGCCAUUUGGCUACUGGGGACAUGCUGAGGGCCAUGGUGGCUUCUGGCUCAGAGCUAGGAAAAAAGCUGAAGGCAACUGUGGAUGCUGGGAAACUGGUGAGUGAUGAAAUGGUAGUGGAGCUCAUUGAGAAGAAUUUGGAGACCCCCUUGUGCAAAAAUGGUUUUCUUCUGGAUGGCUUCCCUCAGACUGUGAGGCAGGCAGAAAUGCUCGAUGACCUCAUGGAGAAGAGGAAAGAGAAGCUUGAUUCUGUGAUUGAAUUCAGCAUCCCAGACUCUGCUGAUCCGAAGAAUCACAGGAAGUCUGAUUCACCCCAAGAGUGGCUGUUCCUACCACGAGGAGUACAACCCUCCAAAAGAGCCCAUGAAAGAUGACAUCACUGGGGAACCCUUGAUUCGUCAAUCAGAUGAUAAUGAAAAGGACUUGAAAAUCCGCCUGCAAGCCUACCACACUCAAACCACCCGACUCAUAGAGUACUACAGGAAACGGGGGAUCCGCUCUGCCAUUGAUGCAUCCCAGACCCCUGAUGUCGUGUUCACAAGCAUCCUAGCAGCUUUCUCAAAAGCCACAUCCUAGUAUCAGAAGGCCAGGCGAGACUGCACCAC
Molecule: RNA transcript, 733 nt
Organism: Nomascus leucogenys (northern white-cheeked gibbon)
Lineage: Eukaryota; Metazoa; Chordata; Mammalia; Primates; Hylobatidae
Gene name: adenylate kinase 2, mitochondrial pseudogene
Exons: 1
Source: RefSeq, a predicted model, not a curated record